Molecule: long non-coding RNA, 647 nt
Organism: Ruditapes philippinarum (Manila clam)
Lineage: Eukaryota; Metazoa; Mollusca; Bivalvia; Venerida; Veneridae
Exons: 3
Source: RefSeq, a predicted model, not a curated record
AUUACGUAAAACAAUAAUUUCUUAUUGAGGUAAUUACAAAGUACACGUCAUACUCGGACCUAUAUAUAACCUGUUUCAGAACACCAUGUUAGUACUAGUGUUUCCAUAAUAGUGGUGGACAACAUCGCAAAUUCUCAACCCGAAUAAACCAAAGUCAAAUAUGCUCGGAAAGUUGUUACUGCUAGUGUUUGCUGUCGCCUGUCUGUGUGCGUUGAUUGAAGCCACGCCCUACUUUUACAGACGCUAUCAGUACAGGCCAUAUCCUAGAUACUCAUUUUAUGGUAGCAACAGCAACAUGUACGGCGGAAAUGACGAUUUUUAUGGCGGGUACUGGGAUUAGAGGAUGCAGCAGACGAGACACGGAAUAUAUUCAAUAUAAAACAAUAAAUAGUACAGCGGACAGAUAACUCGAUAAAAUACUUCAGUUACUCUUAAAAAUGUAUAUGUUUAAUAGUUCUCAAUAUUUGUUUUAGAAUUACACUAUUUAUUAUUUUCUAAUUUUGGUAUAAAUAUAUACAUUAUAUCUCUGCGUUCAUUUAUGUUUUAAAACAUUUUUCAUAUUCAAGGGUUGUUGAGAAUGAGAUUUUUGUUUGUGAAAUAUCAUGUUAUAAAUUAUAAGUAAAUGAAUUAAUAAACAUUAUGCUGCC